GAUCCCAUCCCGAACUCAGAAGUGAAACGCGCAUGCGCCGAUGGUAGUGUGGCUUGGCCAUGCAAGAGUAGGUCACCGCCAGGG
Molecule: ribosomal RNA, 84 nt
Filed under: Rhodanobacter sp. FW510-R12
Lineage: Bacteria; Pseudomonadati; Pseudomonadota; Gammaproteobacteria; Lysobacterales; Rhodanobacteraceae
Source: RNAcentral